This 641-nucleotide ribosomal RNA is filed under the name Enterobacter huaxiensis. Its description in RNAcentral is "bacterial SSU rRNA". It matches the Rfam family "Bacterial small subunit ribosomal RNA", at positions 95 to 732 of the family's 1533-position model. The record is from RNAcentral. Lineage: Bacteria; Pseudomonadati; Pseudomonadota; Gammaproteobacteria; Enterobacterales; Enterobacteriaceae.
GCGGCGGACGGGUGAGUAAUGUCUGGGAAACUGCCUGAUGGAGGGGGAUAACUACUGGAAACGGUAGCUAAUACCGCAUAACGUCGCAAGACCAAAGAGGGGGACCUUCGGGCCUCUUGCCAUCAGAUGUGCCCAGAUGGGAUUAGCUAGUAGGUGGGGUAACGGCUCACCUAGGCGACGAUCCCUAGCUGGUCUGAGAGGAUGACCAGCCACACUGGAACUGAGACACGGUCCAGACUCCUACGGGAGGCAGCAGUGGGGAAUAUUGCACAAUGGGCGCAAGCCUGAUGCAGCCAUGCCGCGUGUAUGAAGAAGGCCUUCGGGUUGUAAAGUACUUUCAGCGGGGAGGAAGGUGUUGAGGUUAAUAACCUCAGCAAUUGACGUUACCCGCAGAAGAAGCACCGGCUAACUCCGUGCCAGCAGCCGCGGUAAUACGGAGGGUGCAAGCGUUAAUCGGAAUUACUGGGCGUAAAGCGCACGCAGGCGGUCUGUCAAGUCGGAUGUGAAAUCCCCGGGCUCAACCUGGGAACUGCAUUCGAAACUGGCAGGCUAGAGUCUUGUAGAGGGGGGUAGAAUUCCGGUGUAGCGGUGAAAUGCGUAAGAUCUGGAGGAAUACCGGGUGGGCGAAGGCGGCCCCCCCU